Molecule: long non-coding RNA, 903 nt
Organism: Oncorhynchus kisutch (coho salmon)
Lineage: Eukaryota; Metazoa; Chordata; Actinopteri; Salmoniformes; Salmonidae
Exons: 3
Source: RefSeq, a predicted model, not a curated record
CGCAGGUUGCGUUACCUGUACUCACACCUGUCACUCUCCAGAGCUGCUCUCCAAGGCUUUAUCUCCCUGCCUCCGGAACUGUCGUCCGUCUGGGCUACCCUACAACAGCGAGGACAAAACAACUAUAUACAUUUACAUACCACUUUGUUUUAAUACCGCAACUUCCGAUCGCUCUGGCAUCAACCUACGAGGUUAGAGUCGCUCUGGCAUCAACCUACGCGGUUAGAGUCAAGUCGGCUUGACCAUCAGCGUCAUUAUCCACCUCAUUUAUACAGACGUUUUGAAGACAUACUUAUUGGUUGUUGCAGUGAAAUAAUGGCACCUUGACCUCGUCCAGUCUAUUCAGUGUUUUGGAGAGAAAACAAAGGCAACGCACGUUUUGUUCGUCACCAGUGUCCGUCUCAUCAGUAGAAGAGAGAGAGGAGAUUCAGCGCUGACUUGGUGGAUGUGUUAAAGCAUGAAUAACCUGGGACCUCCGAUGAGGCAAGCCAAUGGGGUGGCCAGAUCUGACAGCAAGAUGGGCGCCAAGGCUCUAUACGGUAAGAUAUGGACCGGAGCAUGUUUGUGUGCACGUGUGUUUAUGCUAAGAUAUGGAGGGGUUUACUAUGUCGUGUGUGUGUGUGUGUGUGUGUGUGUGUGUGUGUGUGUGUGUGUGUGUGUGUGUGUGUGCGCGUGUGCGUGUGUGUUUUAUGAUAAGUGUAUUUAUACUAUAGUUACUCAUCAGUAUGUGAUCUUACCUGUGGCCUUAGCAUUAAUAUGAGAGUAUGAGUCAAAUACCUGGUAAGGGUUUGGUUUGGAACAGAUUCCAGAAAUGUCCUUUUAUCAAAUCAAAUCAAAUCAAAUGUAUUUAUAUAGCCCUUCGUACAUCAGCUGAUAUCUCAAAGUGCUGUACAGAAACCCAGC